CCCAACCUAUUUUCAGUUCGUCAUGAUCCAAGAUGAAUUACUUUGGAUGGCUCCAAAGUUACAUUACUUUGAUUUACUCCAAGAUCAGACAGGAUAUCACAAACAAGUAUUUAAGAAAGCUUUCUAAAUUAUAAAAUGCAAAUACCAUAUGAUUUGAAGGUAUCUCAAACAAGUAAAAACCUUGACAUGUGUGAUAAUUAUCUGAAAAG
This 209-nucleotide long non-coding RNA is filed under the name Elaeis guineensis (African oil palm). RNAcentral's name for it is "long non-coding RNA (EGUI_LNC060522)". Lineage: Eukaryota; Viridiplantae; Streptophyta; Magnoliopsida; Arecales; Arecaceae. The record is from RNAcentral.